AUACUUACCUGGCAGGGGAGAUACCAUGAUCACGAAGGUGGUUUUCCCAGGGCGAGGCUUAUCCAUUGCACUCCGGAUGUGCUGACCCCUGCGAUUUCCCCAAAUGUGGGAAACUCGACUGCAUAAUUUGUGGUAGUGGGGGACUGCGUUCCGCUCUCCCCUG
This 163-nucleotide small nuclear RNA is filed under the name Castor canadensis (American beaver). RNAcentral describes it as "U1 spliceosomal RNA (ENSCCNG00000001759.1)". It matches the Rfam family "U1 spliceosomal RNA". Rfam says of the family: U1 is a small nuclear RNA (snRNA) component of the spliceosome (involved in pre-mRNA splicing). Its 5' end forms complementary base pairs with the 5' splice junction, thus defining the 5' donor site of an intron. Lineage: Eukaryota; Metazoa; Chordata; Mammalia; Rodentia; Castoridae. The record is from Rfam by way of RNAcentral.